AGGACAGACGACAAAGUUUAUUCACCAAGUCUGAGUGAAAUUGCUCUUUGCAUUUUACAGAUAUUGCUACAGACAGACAGACAGACAGACAGG
Molecule: long non-coding RNA, 93 nt
Organism: Thalassophryne amazonica
Lineage: Eukaryota; Metazoa; Chordata; Actinopteri; Batrachoidiformes; Batrachoididae
Exons: 3
Source: RefSeq, a predicted model, not a curated record